UCCACAUGACCGCAAGCCCCCGCCCCCCUCCUUCGGUUGGCUCCCUCCCUCUUCCUCUCUCUCCGUCCUUCUCCCGUCUCUCACAGAGAUCAUAGAUGAAUCGAAGAGAAUGGUUGAUUUAUUGGUGAAACUGUGAGGACAUCUGUUUCUUCCGACGGAUCGACGAUGAAGUGCGACUCCGUGCAGUGCUUGUGGUCUCCUUCUCCGCCCAGCCACAACAUCACGGCGACGGCUGUUUUGGAACGGAGCCGGUCUAUAUAUACCGGCGGAUCGGAUGGCUCCAUCAUCUGGUGGAGGGUCUACUCCUCUCCUGCGAGUCCAGUUCCUAGGAUGGAUGUGAAACCCAUGACAAUGCUAUGUGGUCACUCUGCAAGGAUAGCUGAUCUGGAUAUCUGUAUUCCUAUUGCAGACAAUGCAAAGACUGAUGGUGCAUGUAAGAGAAAAACUAUGUCAGCUGGUUCUGAAGCAUUGAUCAGUGUUUGUGUUGAUGGAGUUUUAUGCAUUUGGAGUGGUGAGAGUGGACAUUGCCGACGUAGAAGAAAAUUACCCUCAUGGACUGGAAGUCCGUUUGCCAUGUCAUCCUUGUACAAAUCCAGACGGUAUGUUUGCAUUGGUUGCAUGUCUGCUGAGACAAUGCAUUUAUCAAGCUAUCAUUCAGUUGAGACUGAUGAGGGAGGCAUUGGACGUAGUACCAGUGAAGGGUUCACAGUGGAACGAGAAGUGAAUUGUAGUCCUAUUUUAAAGGGCACUGUUGUGAUUAUUGAUGCAUGUACUCUUAAUAUUAUACAUACUGUAAUUCAUGGAUUUUUAUCUAUUGGCCCUGUGCAAGCAAUGGUUGUGGCACCAUCGGAAGAGAAAGAAAAACAGCUGGUAAUUAUGGCGGAUGGGCUUGGAAGAUUCCAAUCACUUUCAGUACCAUUGGAUCAUUGGACAGAUCCAGAAGAUGGAAUAAGUGUUGACAAUACUUCUUCCUCUGGCAUGGAGCAGCAUGCAUUCCCAAAAAUUGAUAAUGGGAUAAAUGGAGUAUCUAUUGCACCCCAUGGAAAGGUUAUUGCUUUAAUUUUUAGUAGACAGUGCAUGUUUAGGUCAACAACCAGUGGGCUCAAUAUUGGCGAAAUAUACUUGGGGUGCAGUUCCCUUUGUGAUGAAGAUUCUUCUAGUUUAGCAUAUCUCACUGGAGGGAUGUUCUUCUCAGAUGAUAAGCCUGACUUUGAUAUAACAGUAGAUGGGAAAUUAGAUGAAGGUUUUGCAGACAAGUUUGUGGUCUGGAACAAUCGAGGUGCGGCAAUGAUGUAUCACAUAUCAUAUUCCUUUCGAGCCUUCAAUUUUGAGUGUUUAUGUGAAGUACCUGCGGCUUCUUAUCCAGCUGAACUAAGAUUCCAUGCUAGCUUCUGCCAACUGAAUCAAUAUACAGUUCGUACUGCAUCAAUAUGCUUUGAUUUUGAGCAAUCUUUGUUAUGGACAUCUCAAAUAAGUAUAUGGUCUCCAUGUCGACUGUCUGUAGAUGAAACCUCCAUUGCCUCUCAUGCUAGCACUUUGGUCGGGGAAGGUGGUUUAUGGGAGGAUUGGUAUCAUAGCUCAGAUGCAUAUGAAAAAUAUUUUGUUCGACACAGUGAAGAUAGUGGUGGAAUGCCAGAAGUAAUGACCAUCAAUGAUAAUGAGAUAAAGAUUGAACAGCUAAGUGAUUAUACAAGAGUUAUUCACAUGAAGAAAGGAGAGAUGGUUACAUCUUCAAUGGUACUCUCAGAUGUCCCAAUUGCACCAUAUGCUGUAGUUGAUGGAUUUUAUAAUGGGCAGAUCAAAGUAACACUUUUUGACAACUACCUUAAGGAACUAAGAUGUUCCAGUAGGUUUAUAAAGUAUGGAACCAACACGGAUGUACCUCAAGCUCAAAGUACUCUUUUAGGCCAUACAGGUGCUAUACUUUGUCUGGCAUUUCAUCGUAUGUCAACACCCACAGAACAAAAUUUUGAGCAAGUGUUGAUAUCAGGUAGCAUGGAUUGUACAGUACGUUUAUGGAAUUUGGAUACCGGCACUCCAAUCUCAGUGUUUCACCAUCAUAUAGGUCCUGUAAGGCAAAUUAUUCUUCCUCCAUCUCGGACUUAUCGCCCUUGGAGUGAUUGCUUUAUGUCUGUUGGAGAUGAUGGAUGUGUUGCACUCAUCUCCCUUGAUACACUAUGUGUGGAGAGAAUGUUUCCUGGACAUCCUGACUGUCCAAAGAUGGUUGCAUGGGAUAGUGCUAGGGGCUACAUUGCGAGCCUAAUCAUGAAGAAUUCACUGCAAUCUAAGCGACAGGAAUUUUUGUACAUCUGGGACGUUAAGACUGGUGCUAGAGAACGGAUUAUCAGGGGCCCUGCUUCACAUGCAAUGCUUGAUAAUUUCAGUAGGGGGGUUGGCGUAGGUUCCAAUUGUAGGGAUCAUUUUGAUAGUAUGACCUCAGCAUCUUCAUUGUUUCUCAAUAUGAUUGAUGAUAGAACUUUUUCUGUUAAUCAUAGGGACAGUGCUGCACCAGAAGAAAGUAGAGAACCUAUCCUGUCGGAGUCCAAUGGUUCUCUAGUACAUGAUUUUAGAGAAAAGUUGACCUUGUCAAAAAUGCUAAGCACACUCAGCCAAGUCCCACUUGGAAAUAAAUGUACUCCUUCUGUUAAACACCCAUUAAUUCAACCAGUUCUUUGGGAAAAUGAGAAACUAGUUAAGUCCUCAUGUCCAUGUCCUGGUGUUGCUGCUUUGGUAUUUGAUCUUCAUAAUCUUAUGUCUCCUAGGCAAGGAAGUGGUAUUAUUAAAGAAAGUGACGACAAGCUGCCACUGAAUGCUUGCAAAAUUGAAGCAGAAAGCCAAAGCCAAGAUGUUUAUGCAGAAACUUCAUCUGAAGUGAAAAACAGUUUGCCUCACAUAUUAGACAGAUAUGUCGGCACAGGGACUAUGGAAAGAUUCUUGCUUCGGUUCAGCAUAGCCUUUCUUCAUUUGUGGGGUAUAGAUGCACUGCUUGAUCAGUCGCUGGUAGAUGAAAUGGACAUUUACAGGCCAGAACAGUUUCUGGUAGCCCCUGGACUUUGUGGGGAUAAGGGUUCACUGACUCUAGUCUUUCCUGGUCGACGGACAACUCUAGAGUUUUGGAAGGCUUCCUCAGAGUUUGUUGCAAUGAGAUCUCUGAUAAUGGUCUCCCUUGCUCAGCGUAUGUUGAGCUUAUCUCAUCCAACUUCAGAUGCUAGCAGUGCUUUGGCAGCAUUUUACACUCGUAAUUUUGCAGAGAGAGUUCCAGAUAUAAAGCCACCUUUGCUUCAGCUCUUGGCAAGUUUUUGGCAAGACCAAUCUGAGCAUGUACGCAUGGCUGCCCGUUCUUUGUUUCAUUGUGCUGCCUCACGGGCAAUUCCAGUUCCACUUUGUGGUCAGAAAGCUUCUCUGAAUUUGAGCGAUAUCAACUUUGUGCUUGACGAAGGUGAAGAAUCAGGUACUAGUGUAGAUGAAGCAACUUCAACUGUUGGCUUGAAUAUGGAUGGAAGCUUGGCAACACAAUAUGAUCAAACAGAGGAUCCUUCAGUGCUUGCAUGGCUUGAAUCCUAUGAACUCCAUGGUUGGGUUUCUAUAAUUGGUGGUACAAACCAAGAUGCAAGGGCGUCACACAUUAUAGUUGCUGCAGCACUAGCUGUCUGGUAUCCUAGUCUAGUGAAAUCAAGUCUUGCUGCAUCAGUUGUUCAUCAACUUGUGAAACUAGUGAUGGUUGUAAGUGAAAAAUAUAGUGCAACUGCAGCAGAGCUCCUAGCAGAGGGAAUGGAUACUACAUGGAAACCAUGCAUUGGUUCUGAACUAUCUCGUUUGAUUGGGGACUUAUUUUUUCUGAUUGAGUGCUUAAGUGGGACAGCUACUGCAACUGUGCAAAAUCCAGUUGUAGCUGUAAAUAUUCGUGAUACCUUAAUUGGUAUCCUUCUUCCAAGCUUAGCGAUGGCUGACAUCGUGAGUUUUCUUAGUGCAAUUGAAGGCCAGACUUGGGCCACUUCCUCCGAUUCACCUGUCCAUGUCGUCUCACUUAUGACUCUGAUAAGAGUAGUUCGUGGUGCUCCAAAGCUCAUGUCCCCACUGCUUGAUAAGGUUGUGAAUUUUAUUCUGCUUACGAUGGACCUUGGGAACUCUGUCAUGCGGCAAUCUUGCCUUCAUAGCUCUAUGGCAGCUCUUAAAGAAGUGGCACGUGUUUUUCCAAUGGUUGCUCUGAAUCAAGGAGCAACAAGGCUUGCAGUUGGAGAUUUAAUUGGAGAUGUCCGUAAACUCACCAUCGAAAUAUAUGACUUGCAAAACGUUACAAAAAUAAAGGUUCUGGAUGCAAGUGGACCACCAGGACUUCCAAGUUUACUUGGCAGUGAUUCAGACAAAACAAUCACAGCAGGGAUCUCUGUGCUGAGUUUUUCACCUGAUGGUGAGGGAUUGGUUGCUUUCUCUGAGCAUGGACUGAUGAUUAGGUGGUGGUCCUUGGGAGCUGCAUGGUGGGAGAAGCUAACUAGAAAUACUGUUCCUGUACAAUGUACAAAGCUCAUUCUGAUUCCUCCAUGGGAGGCAUUUUCUCCUAAUUCUUCUCGGUCAAGCAUAAUGGCUAGCAUUCAUGGACUCUAUAGCCCACGUCAUCUACAGGACAAAACAAGGGGAGCUGCCGAUGUUGACUGUUUAAAGGCUCUGGCUCAAAGUAUUGAUCUUUCUUAUCGGCUGGAGUGGGAGGGUGAUAGAAAAGUCGUACUCUUCCGGCAUGGUCAAUCAUUAGGCUCUUUCCAGCUCUGACAUGUUUCAUGAAUAAAUCAUUGAAAGGUCAAAAUUUUUGUUUCACCCUCUGCUUCCAUGUUAUGUAAAGUCCUCUCUUUUCCAUGCGAUGUAAAGUUUAAUGUGCAUCUGGAUUUUCUUUGGAUACCAAUACCAUUGUAUUGUCCCUCUUACUAUAAUGAAAAUUCCAGCUUUGAAAGUCCUGAGGAGAAAACAAGGGGAGCUGCUGAUGUUUACUGUUCAAAGGCUCUGGCUCAAUGAAUUGAUGUUUUUUACUGGCUGGAGUGGGAAGGUGAUAGAAAAGUCAUGCUCUUCCGGCAUGGUCAAUCAUUAAGCUCUUUCCAGCUCUGACAUGUUUCACAAAUAAAUCAUUAAAAGGUCAAAAUUUUUGUUGCACCCUCUGCUUCCAUGCUAUGUAAAGUCCUCUCUUUUCCAUGCUAUGUAAAGUUUAAUGUGCAUCUGCAUUUUCUUUGGAUACCAAUACCACUGUAUUGUCCCUCUUACUAUAAUAAAAAUUCCAGCUUUGAAA
This is an RNA transcript of Nymphaea colorata (pocket water lily), 5275 nucleotides long. RefSeq lists it as uncharacterized. NCBI's taxonomy places the organism in Eukaryota, Viridiplantae, Streptophyta, Magnoliopsida, Nymphaeales, Nymphaeaceae. The transcript has 10 exons. The record is from RefSeq and is a predicted model, not a curated record.